AAUGUCCCGCCAGACGCAGGUGGCCCGCAAGGGCUGAAACGGGAACGCGCAAGCGGCUGCCCCCGCAACUGUGAGCGGCCGGUCCCGGCGACGGGACCUACCGCGGCCCAUCAUGCCAUUGCCGAACGGCGAGAAGGCGGGCCGCGGCGAGGCCGCGAGCCAGGAGACCGGCCGGCGUCGAGACUGCGCG
This 190-nucleotide non-coding RNA is filed under the name Rhodospirillales bacterium. The record is from RNAcentral. Lineage: Bacteria; Pseudomonadati; Pseudomonadota; Alphaproteobacteria; Rhodospirillales.